UAGCUCAGAUGGUAAAGAAUCUGCCUGCAAUGCAGGAGACCCAGGUUUGAUUCCUGG
Molecule: transfer RNA, 57 nt
Filed under: Muntiacus reevesi (Reeves' muntjac)
Lineage: Eukaryota; Metazoa; Chordata; Mammalia; Artiodactyla; Cervidae
Also listed under: 6 other names
Rfam family: tRNA
About the family: Transfer RNA (tRNA) molecules are approximately 80 nucleotides in length.
Source: Rfam by way of RNAcentral